GUGGUCGCUGCCGCCCCACUGGCUCCCGGGUGGACACUAACACCGUGACACAGAGAAUGCUCUGCCGCUCUCCGUGCCCUGGCGUGGGACCGUGACAGGUCUCCAAGAUGUGUUAGGAAGUGAAAAGGCCAAGGAGCAGAGCAGUGUGGUCAGGAGGCCGCCGCUGACGAAAGGGAGCAGUAGUCACGUGGACCUGCAGGCUGAAGGCUCUGCGGCAGGACGGCGGGAGUCUGAGGAGCAGCAGGCCAGGCCCAAGUGUGGCCGUGACCUCUGAGCGGUAGCAAGCCCAUGGGACACAGAGUGUUCGCAGGGCUGGGGCUCAAAACAUCCGACCAGAAAAAGUCCCUGAGGAGCCACUGAAGAAAGGGCCACGCAGCUGUCUAAGGCUUCAGUCCCUCCUGGAGCUGGCAGCACAGAGCUCUGGACCAGCCCCAGGACCAGGGGACGAGGGGAAAUGCAGGGAAAAGAGACGGUCUGCCGGAUUUCUGCAGUGAUGGCCAGCCAGUUAAGUUCCGAGCCGGCAGGAACCCAGCUCUCCCGAUGCUUGGCCGGGAGUCCGUCCCCCGCAUGGGACAUCCUCAAACUUAAAGCACUUGAUCUUCUAACAAGCUCCACAGUCAGCUGUGUCCCCUGUUUGUUCACAGAAGUUUCAGGAGGCCUGGCCGCUGAGCCGCUGCUUCCCCAUCUCAGGAAAAAGGGCAGUUUAAGGGCUGAUACUUUAUAUCGUGCCCCUCCCUGGGAGCUAUUAGGCAAGUGAGGCGUUGACUUUCUGAAGCCCUUGCUGUUUAGCUGCAGGAUUAGUUCUAGUCCAUUUACUCACCAAGUCUGCUGGCCAAACGCGGAGACCAGAAAAGCACAUCUCCAUUGCAUAAUAAAUGUUUAAAAACGACAGUCAGGUUUGACCAGAAAAUGCCCCCGCUGGCAGGCCUGAAGCCACACUGGCUCCAGUGUUUAAAGUUCAGCUCCAUUGCCCCCCCUACCUACACCGCCUGCCUCCAGGCACGCAAACGGGCAGGAGCCUCCCUACCUGCCUCCCUCUGCCACCUGCCCACCAGGUGACAGCACAGCCAGCAGCAGUUAAACCCUCCACAAACGCCCCAAGGUCCUCUGCUGGGUUUCUGUAUGGGUCCUGCUUCCUCCACCAAGCCUGGGGCUCCCGGAGGUCAGGACCGUGUCUCCCCCGACACCCACCCCAGCCUUCAGGUCUUCCCACCCAGCCCAGCACAGACCUCGACCCACCAAUGGUUCCCUUGUGCCCAGGCUCCAGGCUCCAGCCUCAUUUGCAAACAAAGACCAGAUCUGUGUCAGAGCUGGCAGAUGUUAAAGAUAACCCCUCUCGGUCCUUUAGGAAUUAGUCUAAAAUAUGCAAUUGUAUUUCAGGAACCUUAAGGGUGUUUCUGAAACCUUGGGGCCCAAGACAGUUAUACCGUAUGUCCAUUUUAGACUUUGGAAAAUAGGGCGCUAUAAUUGGAAAAGCUAGCAUAGCGCUAAGUACAGGGAGCCGGUCUCCUUACAUCUCAAAUACCAGGUAUUUAGGUGGCUUUCUUGGAACCUGGCAUUAGGGACACGUGUGAACGGGCCAGGCUCAUUUCUGCGGAGUAAGUGGGCGUGGCCAGUGAGGGUGCUCAGGCAGGCGGGCAGUGCCGUCUCUGACCCCUGAUGCUAAUGUCCCUGCUGCCUGGCACAGGGGCCCCAGACUCACCUCCCUGCCCCCUCUCCUCUUCUGCUGACCUGGGCUUUCCCAGUCCCCAGGAGCACUCGGGGUUGGUGCCUAUUCCCUAAGGCAUGCCAGGCCCUGGCUUCUUCCAACGUUGGAAAAUGGGCCCCCUGUUGUUUGCCAGAGCGUGGGAGCAAUGCCCUUGGGUGCUGGCGCCAGACUGUCUGAGUUCAAAUCUUACCAUCCG
This is a long non-coding RNA of Microcebus murinus (gray mouse lemur), 1904 nucleotides long. Lineage: Eukaryota; Metazoa; Chordata; Mammalia; Primates; Cheirogaleidae. The record is from Ensembl.